AUACGGGAGGCAGCAGUGGGGAAUAUUGCGCAAUGGACGAAAGUCUGACGCAGCGACGCCGCGUGUGGGAUGAAGCCUUUCGGGGCGUAAACCACUGUUGCCCGGGACGAACGUCCCCUUUCGAGGGGACUGACGGUACCGGGUGAGGAAGCACCGGCUAACUCUGUGCCAGCAGCCGCGGUAAUACAGAGGGUGCGAGCGUUGUCCGGAAUCACUGGGCGUAAAGGGCGCGUAGGUGGCUGGGUAAGCGUGUGGUGAAAGUCCGGGGCUCAACCCCGGAUCUGCCGUGCGAACUGCUUAGCUCGAGCAAUGUAGAGGCAGGUGGAAUUUCGGGUGUAGCGGUGGAAUGCGUAGAUAUCCGAAAGAACACCAGUGGCGAAGGCGGCCUGCUGGGCAUUAGCUGACACUGAGGCGCGACAGCGUGGGGAGCAAACAGGAUUAGAUACCCGUGUAGUCG
This 457-nucleotide ribosomal RNA is filed under the name uncultured bacterium. RNAcentral describes it as "bacterial SSU rRNA". It matches the Rfam family "Bacterial small subunit ribosomal RNA", at positions 339 to 796 of the family's 1533-position model. The record is from RNAcentral.